RNAcentral lists this ribosomal RNA (774 nucleotides) under uncultured Neocallimastigales. RNAcentral describes it as "partial large subunit ribosomal RNA". It matches the Rfam family "Eukaryotic large subunit ribosomal RNA", at positions 23 to 617 of the family's 3401-position model. Lineage: Eukaryota; Fungi; Neocallimastigomycota; Neocallimastigomycetes; Neocallimastigales. The record is from RNAcentral.
AGAGAGAGACAUGCGCGCAUAUCAAUAAGCGGAGGAAAAGAAACUAACAAGGAUUCCCCUAGUAACGGCGAGUGAAGCGGGAAGAGCUCAAAUUUGAAAUCUUAAAGGGUUUCCCUUUACGAAUUGUAGUUUAAAGAAGUGUUUUCUGUUGAGGUUUUGGUAAAAGUUCUUUGGAAUAGGACAUCAUAGAGGGUGAGAAUCCCGUAUUUGACCUUUACUUUCAACUUUGUGAUACACUUUCAAAGAGUCGGAUUGUUUGGGAAUGCAGUCCAAAAUGGGUGGUAAAUUUCAUCUAAAGCUAAAUAUUGGCGAGAGACCGAUAGCGAACAAGUACCGUGAGGGAAAGAUGAAAAGAACUAUUGAAAAGAGAGUUAAACAGUACGUGAAAUUGUCAAAAGGGAAGCGUUUGACACCAGUGUUGUUUUUCUGAAAAUCAAUUAAAGAACUGUUUAUGCUAAGUUGUUUAGACUUUAUCAGCUAACUGUUUAGUUUUGAGCUUUUCUUUAAUGCACUUUUCAGUUAACAAGUCAACAUCAAUUUCUUUUGCUGUAAAAAAGCUUGAGGAAGGUGGCUUGAGAUUCGUCUUAAGUGUUUAUAGCCUCUUGCCUAUGCAGUCGGAGAGAUUGAGGUCUGCAGCGUAGAUCCUUCGGGGCUAAAUGCAUUUGUGCUAAGUUAUAGCAUUUUAUAGACAACUUGUUGACUAUGAUUUGUCUUGUAGCUUACUCGCUUAUGUUAUUUUACCUACGCUUAGGAUGUUGAGCGCAUGUCUCUCUC